GGCGUCGUAGCCAAGAAGUUAAGGCGGCGGUCUGCAAAACCGCUAUACGUGGGUGCAAAUCCCACCGACGCCUCCA
This 76-nucleotide transfer RNA is filed under the name Candidatus Berkelbacteria bacterium. RNAcentral describes it as "tRNA-Cys". It matches the Rfam family "tRNA". Rfam says of the family: Transfer RNA (tRNA) molecules are approximately 80 nucleotides in length. Their secondary structure includes four short double-helical elements and three loops (D, anti-codon, and T loops). The record is from RNAcentral. Lineage: Bacteria; Candidatus Berkelbacteria.